RNAcentral lists this long non-coding RNA (1290 nucleotides) under Homo sapiens (human). Lineage: Eukaryota; Metazoa; Chordata; Mammalia; Primates; Hominidae. The record is from RNAcentral.
GGCGGGGUUGGCUCUAACGAAUUUGAAUGAGGAGCCUCAGCGCUUUCGGCGCCAUUUUCGAGUGAUGCCUGAUCUCAUCAAUCUAGCGGGAGAGACAGGAUAACCUGUCCGAGAGUAUAGCGCCACUAUGACUCCGCCGGAAAAAUUACUUUAAAAAUCGCCAAAAAUUACUUGGAGCAAAGGGCAGUCGGCGGAGCUUCGCCAAGGCUGGCGCAGUCGGUUUUGACCUGUAGCAGAGAACCAAUUCUGGAGAACAGCCUCACUUCUUUGAUUGAAUACUUACAUAAUGCAUUGGAACAUGACAUGAGAUUAAGGUUUAAUAAUGAUAGAAUGAAGACCACAAUAAAAGAGACCUCUACUUAGCUCAGCAAUUCUUACCUUUCUUACCUAUUUGAUGAAGAUGUCUUUUGAAAGGUGUACUGCAAGGAACAAAAUGUUUGUAAAUUCUCCUUUUACCAAGGUGGAUAAUUACUGUACCUUCCUCAUGGAAAAAGUUUUAUUUAAAGUGUUAUUUCUCAUUGAAUACUAUCAAAAAGGAAAAAAAAAUGACCUAAACUUUUGAGAUAGAUUUGGCUCUAGUGUAAAUUUUGAUACCACCAUUGCCGCCUUCCCCUCAAAAAAGGUGAGAACUGACUAAACUACUGGUACUUAGACCAUGUGGAGAAGGAACUGAAAAUGGAAACAGAAACACGUCUGUACAGAGCAGAGUGUCAGAUAAUAGCUCAUUUUAGUAGAGGGCAAUAAAUGCCACAUGAGAUGAUCACCUCAGCAGAAAACUGUAAGUAACUGGGGACUUACAGGAGAAUUGAACAGUUGUUUCUGCUGACUCAGUAAAAAGUCUUCAUUUUAUAAUUUGUGGCCUGCAUGCUUGUAAAUUAAAAUGCAUUGAGUUGUCAAGUAAUGGACUUGUCUGGUUUGUAGGUAGGAAUUUAAGCCAAAAUUGAAUGCAACAUUCCCCCAGAAGUAACCUGGGAUCUGUGCCAUAAAACCUAAGGCAAAGGUUACAUGAAUUUGUAUUACUAGGUUAGAACUAGGCUAUUGAGCCUUUGCCUAGAAAACCAAUUAGAGGAUUUUGGUCUUGAUAUAGCAGGGAAUAGGGAGGCAUUAUAGCCUAUUGAUUUGUUUGGAAUUAAAUGUGGCAAUACUAUAUAUAGAAAUGUCUAAGAAAUAAAAUAUGGUAGCAAGGAAACUGGGCAUGUGACUACUGUAGUAAUCUAGGGGUGAAGAAACCUGAACAGCAAUAGUGGCAGGAGAAUGGAGGUGAAAGAAUAAAUUUAAGAUAUUUCAAAG